ACGGGCUUCGGUCUGGUGGCGAGUGGCGAACGGGUGAGUAAAGUAUCGGAACGUACCUUUCAGUGGGGGAUAACGUAGCGAAAGUUACGCUAAUACCGCAUAUUCUGUGAGCAGGAAAGCAGGGGAUCGCAAGACCUUGCGCUGAUUGAGCGGCCGAUAUCAGAUUAGCUAGUUGGUGGGGUAAAGGCCUACCAAGGCGACGAUCUGUAGCGGGUCUGAGAGGAUGAUUCGCCACACUGGAACUGAGACACGGUCCAGACUCCUACGGGAGGCAGCAGUGGGGAAUUUUGGACAAUGGGGGCAACCCUGAUCCAGCCAUGCCGCGUGAGUGAAGAAGGCCUUCGGGUUGUAAAGCUCUUUCGGCCGGGAAGAAAUCGCAUGGGCUAAUACCCUGUGUGGAUGACGGUACCGGAAUAAGAAGCACCGGCUAACUACGUGCCAGCAGCCGCGGUAAUACGUAGGGUGCGAGCGUUAAUCGGAAUUACUGGGCGUAAAGCGCGCGCAGGCGGUUUAGUAAGACAGGCGUGAAAUCCCCCGGGCUCAACCUGGGAACUGCGCUUGUGACUGCUAAGCUAGAGUAC
Molecule: ribosomal RNA, 581 nt
Filed under: uncultured Dechloromonas sp.
Lineage: Bacteria; Pseudomonadati; Pseudomonadota; Betaproteobacteria; Rhodocyclales; Azonexaceae
Description: bacterial SSU rRNA
Rfam family: Bacterial small subunit ribosomal RNA
Source: RNAcentral